AGACCAAAAAAAAAAAUUUCCAAGAAAAAAAUUCCAGCACCUUAAAAUGCUUUAAUAUUACAGGUGUGAUUCCAGUAUUUCUUUCCCCACUUCCUGCCUUGAACAAUGAAAUAUCGCCAAAGUGCCAGUCUUCCAAUUUGGAGAAAGAUCAGUACUCCAAAGCUUGGAUGGCAGGGAAUCUUUCCCACGAGUGUUCUCACCAGAAGUGAAAUCUCAAGUAUGUUCAUUGCAGAGUUCAUAUCCAAACUCAGUCAUAAAAGGUAGGUAGCUAUAACUUUAAGUCCAGCCCCACAGAUGAAUCAUAUAAC
Molecule: long non-coding RNA, 308 nt
Filed under: Ornithorhynchus anatinus (platypus)
Lineage: Eukaryota; Metazoa; Chordata; Mammalia; Monotremata; Ornithorhynchidae
Description: lncRNA (ENSOANG00000049002.1)
Source: RNAcentral